GUGGGGAAUUUUGGACAAUGGGCGCAAGCCUGAUCCAGCAAUGCCGCGUGCAGGAAGAAGGCCUUCGGGUUGUAAACUGCUUUUGUACGGAACGAAACGGUCCUGGCUAAUAUCCGGGGCUAAUGACGGUACCGUAAGAAUAAGCACCGGCUAACUACGUGCCAGCAGCCGCGGUAAUACGUAGGGUGCGAGCGUUAAUCGGAAUUACUGGGCGUAAAGCGUGCGCAGGCGGUGCUGUAAGACAGGCGUGAAAUCCCCGGGCUCAACCUGGGAAUUGCGCUUGUGACUGCAGUGCUGGAGUGCGGCAGAGGGGGAUGGAAUUCCGCGUGUAGCAGUGAAAUGCGUAGAUAUGCGGAGGAACACCGAUGGCGAAGGCAAUCCCCUGGGCCUGCACUGACGCUCAUGCACGAAAGCGUGGGGAGCAAACAGGAUUAGAAACCCGGGUAGUCC
This 450-nucleotide ribosomal RNA is filed under the name uncultured bacterium. RNAcentral's name for it is "partial 16S ribosomal RNA". It matches the Rfam family "Bacterial small subunit ribosomal RNA", at positions 354 to 796 of the family's 1533-position model. The record is from RNAcentral.